CUUAGGUAGAGCCGCCAGUGAGCAGUCUCCUUCAGCAUUGAUCUUUCGUCAUCGUCGUCAUCUCCAUCAAUUUUUUUCUCUUGAGGUUUCUUUCUCGAUCUCUUUCUCUUUUUCUUGAGUUUUUUCUCUUCUCCUUUUCAUGGCUUCCACUGGCAGAGAAUUUGGAGAUGAGAAUCCAGUCAGUGACUGGAGUUCUCGAGCUCCAACUGCCUAGAGA
Molecule: long non-coding RNA, 217 nt
Filed under: Elaeis guineensis (African oil palm)
Lineage: Eukaryota; Viridiplantae; Streptophyta; Magnoliopsida; Arecales; Arecaceae
Description: long non-coding RNA (EGUI_LNC019513)
Source: RNAcentral